This 890-nucleotide long non-coding RNA is filed under the name Anthonomus grandis grandis. RNAcentral's name for it is "uncharacterized LOC126740627". The record is from RNAcentral. Lineage: Eukaryota; Metazoa; Arthropoda; Insecta; Coleoptera; Curculionidae.
UGCUGGCGUGGAACAACAGGCUUCGGUUUAGGUUUCAAUGCGUGUGUAUCGGUUCCUGUGUCAAUACAUAAUUAUUUUAUUCUAUAAAUACAUUAUUUUUUAUAUAAUAACUAAUAUGAAUAAUUUGCUGGUGUCCUGGGGGUUGGACUCCUUGAAACAAAUCUUUGCAGAUAAACAUGACGUGUGGCAUAUCAUACCUACCAUACAGGGAGGUAUGACGGUAAUUUAUAUUGACAUAUAAAUUGAGACAGGAAUGCGAAUAUAAUAAAGUGGCUGAAAUAAUAGUGGGUUGGUCCGUCCUAUCUGAUCCCAGAGCUAAUUCUUUGAUUGAAUCCGACUUUUCAAUUUUAUAUCCAGGCACCGAACUGUCAAUAUUAACAUAUUGGGAUAUAUUUUUUGAAAAUGUAUUAACACUAAAAAAGAAGGAAAUUGAUGAGACGAGAGAUCCAAUUCUGCAGGACUUAAUCGAAAAACUAAAAUUAAAAGAGCAACUGACUGCUGAUUCAAAAGUAGCGUUGCAAAUCGCAUCCUUGCCGCGUAUCUUUCCACAAAGAUCUCGAGCGGUCCAAACCAAAAGGUCGCUUGAGAUUGGGAAAAGAACACUGGAAGUAUACCACGAAUGAAUCUGUGGAAGGAAUAAUUAUCCAUGCUACAAGAUAUAGAAACUAAAAUACAAAGUCAAAUUGAGAAAGCUGCUAGAAGAAAAGUACAUAGGGAAGCGCAACCGUAUUUAAUAGUCGAAGGCCCACAAUUGACCGACAUCAGGAAUACGUAUGUUGUAAUUGAUAAAAUUCAUUAAUCUGUUUGGAAUUUUUGAGAAUUUGAUGGAAUUGUUGAUUUGAUUGAGGAAUAAUACAUUCUAAAUUUUAUAAUAAAUAUUUAAUUAAUAA